CUGUUCUUGAUGUUCUCUCAUGUGGUGACGAGGUAAAGUUAUCAUCUUUGUAUAUCACAAUUUUCUAGGAUAAACACUUUUCAUCCUUUUUGUUGUUCCAUGUUCCUAAAAUUUGUUCGUUGCAAGGGAAAGAGCCAUUCUUGCACUGCUCUAAACACAUCACAAGUAGGUAGGUUAGGUUAUUUAUGUGAAGUUGUCUUGCUAUAUAUGUUGUGGAACCAAGGUGUCUAUUGACCAAAUGAAGAAUGAUAUAUCUAUCUGCAUAUUUUUCUUUUUAGAUGAAUUUGACUAACUAUGCCUACUCUUUCAGCUUAAAGUGUAUUUGAGAACCCAUGCACUUGACCAAAUGGUUCAAGCAGUAGCUGCUUCAUUUGGCAUUAGAAUGAUUACCAAGUUUUGCUACGAACUUAUGCUGCUACUAUAACCUUUUUGUAGGUAAAUUUGAAGCCUAAGGUGCCAACAAAGGUAGUUUGUGCUGAACAUCUUGAGUUACAGAACGAGAUACUCACACAGAAAAGUAGAGAUGCACAAUAGUUUUAGCUUUUCAGGGAUUGUUCUUGUUGGGUUCAGCUUUCGCCGGCAUGUUGUUAUUACAGAGUUACCGUAUCUCUUUGAAUCGUCAUAUGUACUCCAAACUCUUAUAGAUUAUGCAACUAGCUAAUGGUUGGAACUUUUACUCAGCUUUAUUAUAGGUGGCACAAAGUCAUGUUAGUUGCCAUUUUAUUGCUACAGAUAUGUUCUUGUUCUGACUGUUUAUGUGAUGAUUAUAUCCAUGUGUAUGUAGCACAACCUCAUGUUUACACGUGGCUUGAAAUCGGCUGUACUUUUUUUGCUUUUGUUACAAGAUAUAUCAUCAAUUUCUUGUCUGGAUGUACUUUUAUUAGUUUGCUUCUAACUGCAUCUUAAUAUGUACUCGGUAGGCUCUACAGGAUUCGAUGAUGGAUGUGUGAAUGUGAGCAAUCAGGAUAUAAAUUUCUUCCAACAGCAAGGCAUGCUGAUUAGAUUCAGGAAUAUGUUCUUGCGUCUCAGCUUUGCAGCUUCACGUUGUAGGACUAAUAUUUGGUACCUGACAUGAGAUUGAGAAAUACCAUGCUUUAAUUAAUUAGUACAUACCUUGUGCAGGGCACAUAAAAUAUAUCUGAUAUCGCUUUUUUGUUAUUUAUAUUUUUAUCUUUUCUACCCUAAUUCAGUAGCACCAUUUCUUGAUGUUAUUUCUCUAUAGGAUUGUUGCUUCCACUAUAGCUUUUCCCCUCUGAAAUGAAUUUGAAUUAGGUCACUUUAGUGUCAAGGUAAAAAUUUCUUUGUUCUCGGGAAGAGCCAGUAUCCUAGGUGAUCGUUAAAUAUUAUUAAUAAUUACCAAUUAAUAAUUAUGUGCUUGACUGUUUGUUGAUGACCAAUAAUUAUGUAUUUCACUUAUAAGUAACUAUCUAAUUUGCAUGUUCCAUUUUAUUUCAGAUGUAACACAUUCUUUAUAUGUAUUAUGAUGGAUUUUAGAUAUGCUCACUUGAUAUCAUUUUUUCUCUUGACUCUAAAACAGGUAUGUACAAGCUAUUUAAGAGGGCCAAGAAGGCGGAAUAGCCUCGCUUAUACAGUUUCUGACUGCUAACAGUGCCAUCAUCAAUGAGCUUCACUCUAAAGUCUGUUCAUGGGAGGGUUGGGCUUCCUUCAAUGCUAGGGAUGAAAUUGGAGAAUAAACAAGGGGUUGACAUGCUUGUGAAGUUCUAUUAGGUAUGCUUCUCUCUCUCCCGAAAUCUUUCGGUUCCUGAAGCACAAACCCUGUCAGUUUGUCCAUACGUAGAUUUUUUUCCUUCUUGUUGGUGCACUAUUCUCGGGUUUUUAGACCAUUUGAGAGGGCCAAGAAGGCGGAAUAGCCUCGCUUAUACAGUUUCUGACUGCUAACAGUGCCAUCAUCAAUGAGCUUCACUCUAAAGUCUGUUCAUGGGAGGGUUGGGCUUCCUUCAAUGCUAGGGCUGAAAUUGGAGAAUAAUUAAACAAGGGGUUGACAUGCUUGUGAAGUUCUAUUAGGUAUGCUUCUCUGUCUCCCCAAAUCUUUCGGUUCCUGAAGCACAAACCCUGUCAGUUUGUCCAUAUGUAGAUUUUUUCCCUUCUUGUUGGUGCACUAUUCUCGGGUUUUUUGUGUGUUUCUUUCUUGCGGCCAGCUUGACCAUUUACUCUGGAAGGAGUUAUUCAACUAAAAAAGAGCGAACAAGUUGAGAUUCUUUUGUCUUGUCUAUAUCGUUCCUACAAUGUUGUUUGGGUUGAUUUUCUUGCUUUUUUGUAGUUUGUGGAGAGAGUUAAGUAGUAGGGUAGCCUUUCUAUGGUGGCGAUCGCAUGCUGUGCAGCCGAGUGUAGUUAAUUUGGUGGUUCAUGUUACAAGAAAAAUCAUUGCUCUGUUUGUAGGUUUCAGGUUCCUUUUGUUGUGAGGUGCUCCAUGGCCCUUUGCUUGGAUGCUCUGUGGUGAGGCAACAGAGAUAAUUAGCAGUCUUGUAUACUAACCAAGAGAACAUCCAUUUCAUGAUUUUGGGUAUUGGGUUCUCUUUGCUAAACCAGCUGCAGCUAGAUGAGAGAAGUAGUAAGUAAUAUCAGGUGCAUAAUUUCUAUCAGUCUGUGUAUUCUAAUGACUACCGAUAUCCCCUUUCCUGUAGUGUGGCACUGAAUCAAUAGUCAUUUUUGCACAAUCAUGUGUCAUGUUCCUUUAUGAAUCAUAUAAUAUCAAGAGACAACUUAUGGAACUGUUCAGAUUUUUAUGGCAGCCCUAACUUCGCUAGGUAAUAACUUUAUUUGGUCUUUAUCCAACUGGUUUUUAUCAUAUCAAAUUACUGCAGAGCGUACUGAUUUUUUUGUCACCGAGCAACGGUGCCUUUCAGUUCAACUAGCAGUUUAAACCUCCGAAGGUUUAAGGUGAACAAUGAGAUAUUUUUGGGUUUGUUUGAACUGUUGUGUCUGUCCACUUGAGUGCCUCCAUAUGUGGUUCUCCUGUUGCAUUAGUUAUAUUAUUAUUUUUGAUCAUCUUGCCCAAAACUAAAGUUUCACUACAUGAAAAAUGACUACUUUAUUUUAUACCAUGUUAUCCUCUUUCUCUUCCCCACAGGACAGCGUCUCCCCGUGUUCUCGAUCCGGCGCCGCCACAUAUCAUGAUUCUGGAUUGGGCGCAGGUCAUCGCCAUAAGAGAGCCUGGCUGGUGUGGUCUUCAUGCUUGGUGUGGAGAAGCACGGGGGAUGAGUAGGACGGGCAUGGGGAAGGAGCAGCUAGGCCGGAGCUCCGGCGUUGUUCGCGUCAUGGUCGAAUGGAGCCGGCCAUCACUAUGGGCUGCUGCUCGCCGGUCGUCGUUUAUCCAAUCUCAGUUGCUCAUCUUUGGCUUCACCAUCUUCCUCCCCUGAUCAUGCAUCUAUUUUAGAUCAUAUAAUUAUGCUAUAUCAUAUAUGUUGUUUAGUUCAGACUUGUGCAUGUGCAUGCAUUGGCAUUGAUUUAGACAGAGAUAUUGCAUGAUUUGUACAUAGAAGGAGUACGGAUGAUCUAGGAAUAAAUGUUUGAAUAAAGUUAGUAGUGAGAUUUAGAUAGAGGUUACCUGCACUGUUCUGUUUUAUGUAGAUUCUAAGCUGCAAAAUCAUACAUUGUCCUGUUAGUAAUUUGUUUGAGUUGUGAGUUUACGCAUUUUCCCUUGGAAUGUUUGUAUGUGUGAUCACUGGCUUUUAGGUUCCCAGUGGUAUAUCAUGAGAAGUUUUUUACUCUGCACCGGGUGAUCAACUACAUAUUUAGACGAAUACACUAUUCAGGACCAGGAACAUUAAGAUUUCUAAUGUUGUUUUCCUCUUUCAAGAUUGCAGUUUUCAUAAGCCUUAGAUAGCUAAGGUACACAUAGUUUUCAUUUAAC
RNAcentral lists this long non-coding RNA (3874 nucleotides) under Triticum aestivum (bread wheat). Its description in RNAcentral is "long non-coding RNA (TAES_LNC028215)". Lineage: Eukaryota; Viridiplantae; Streptophyta; Magnoliopsida; Poales; Poaceae. The record is from RNAcentral.